Non-coding RNA from Notechis scutatus (mainland tiger snake), 501 nucleotides. Lineage: Eukaryota; Metazoa; Chordata; Lepidosauria; Squamata; Elapidae. The record is from RefSeq and is a predicted model, not a curated record.
GGCACCGUUCAGGAGGAACUCCGUUUUUCUUGUUUUGGGCAGCCUGAAAAUUCCCGUUUCUAAUUCCGAUUUGAAUGUAACUCGUCACAGGUUAUGGCCAAUUAGACAAUUGUUGCUCUAUCUAUGGAGAAAGAAGAAAAAACAGUCACUCCAGAAAAGGCCACAACAUCGUUCGCUUGACCCACUGUGGAGACGCUGCUGCGGUUGGAGCCUCUCCCCAGUCCGUUAUCAUCUGACGGUGGAAGGAGGGGUCUUAAAACGUUUUCUGCAGAAUACAGUUGGGUAAUUUUCAAAUUGCGAUCGGGGCAUAGAUAGAAACCAGAACUGAGUGCACCGACUAAUGGAGUGAAUGGUCCUGAUCCAGCCAUGGGAAGGAAAGAAGCCACCAGAAAACUGCUGGAUUGAGAAGGAGAUAAACUUUUGCUUCGGGGACAGAAGGAUGGGGAAGGGAGCAGCUGCCAAUCAAAAUCUUUCCUUUCCUGCAAGAACACUGUAUAAAAA